Labeo rohita (rohu) is the source of this 1239-nucleotide long non-coding RNA. RefSeq lists it as uncharacterized. The record is from RefSeq and is a predicted model, not a curated record. NCBI's taxonomy places the organism in Eukaryota, Metazoa, Chordata, Actinopteri, Cypriniformes, Cyprinidae. The transcript is spliced from 3 exons.
UGCAAGGGGAUUGCAAACACAAAGCUCGGGGUUUAAUAGAAACGCUUAGCCAAUUUUACACAGUAAACACCGCUGAGCAUAACACAUUGGCCGUUUUCAAAACCAGCGAAUAUUUAGUGCACAGUGUGCUAUCAAUAGCCUACUUAUGAAUUCAACGACAAAGGAAAGUAACGCAGGAAAUAAAGUAAUGCGAUAGGUCGUGUAAAUGUAGUAUAAAGCGAUAUAUAUGUGCUAUAUGUGUUGCUAUAAAUAUGUUACGUUAUAUAUGUUGCUAUAAAUAUAUGUUAAGUUGGUCCUUUUGCCGUUUUGAAGACUAAUGCCCCACCCCUGUGUAUGACUCAAUACCAAUGUUGGUGUUGCACAUCAAGUGUUUGUCAGCGCGACGUGCAGGUCUCCUCUAGGGAUCUCAACAAUGCCUCAAAGUGUGUUCAGAUGUGCAGAGAUACAAAAGUCAGACAUUUUGAUGACCUACAGUAAGCAGGUUGCAGCGACAAAGCCUGUAACCUGAGGCAGGGUGCACCAGGCAGUCAGCAGGAUGCCUCCACAGCGCUCAUGGUUUCAAGUUGAGUCAGAGGUUUCAUGCGUGUGUGUGUGGGUGGAAAGAGGUUUCCUGGGCUGUUCCACCAUCAGAGGCCUGAGUGGGAGACCAACCACUCCUUAAAAUGGAAACGUUUUUGCUGCAUGUUGCGUUUUAUCGUUUAAUCUUGCACCUCGAGACACCAGAUGCAACUGUUCGAAAUGCACUAAAUAGAUGGAUGGAUGUUCAGGGGAUUUCUUUGAUUUAAAUCCUUUGGUUUGACAGCCACGGUUGAGUCAUAACAUUUUAAUAUAUCACCAUCUGAAAGUUAAAACUGUAGCACAGCUUCUUGGCGUGUUGACAGAGAAGGAAUUGUUAGAAUGAAUAUGACUCUAUUUCCAAGAAAUCUCCUUCCUGUCUGUGUCUACACAGAUGUCACACAUUCUGGAUUGAGACAUAUUGUCACCAUGGGAACAAGCAAUGUCCUCACAAAGGCUCUGUCUCAUCUUGAUGGACACUAAUGGUGGUUUACCGCCAUGGAAGCGCUGGUCCGAAGUGAUCAGGAAGUCACGAAUAUCCUCCCUCCGGUUUCCACCAGCUGAUGACAGCCUUUGGGCAAAAAGGGCACAUUUGUUCUCUUUAUAUCUCAGUUGGUUUUAAUGAAAGACAUGCUGACCUAUUCGUAUUGGCCCUGCGUCAGUUUUUCUCACACACAGACACAA